UGCGUCAUCCUUGUUUUCUCAAUUUACGAAAUUAAGAUGAAUAUUAUUUCUUAUAUUUAUAUAUAAAGAGACAGAUUGACUUUGUUGGUUGAUUCUUAUUAUCACAGAACAGAUCUAAAAGCUGGGUACCAAGAAAGAAAAGGGAAGAUGGAUGAAAUGGCUGCAAAUCCAAUGAAUGGAGGAUCUGGCCUCUACAGCUACACCAGAAACUCAACCCUUCAGAGAAAAGCCAUAGAGGCUGCAGAAGAACUAAUCAACAAGGCAAUUCUUGAGAAACUUGAAAUCAAUAACUUUUCUUCUUUAAAAACCUUUCAAUUGGCUGAUUUGGGGUGCUCAGUUGGACCUAACACAUUCUUGGCUGUCCAAAACAUAGUUGAUGCUGUGAAGCUCAAGUAUCAAAGCCAAAGACGUCUCGAUUCUCAGCAACUUCUUGAAUUCCAAGUCUUCUUCAAUGAUCAUAUGUCCAAUGAUUUCAACCAGCUUUUCACAGCUCUUCCUCCGGAAAGGAGAUACUUUGCCAUGGGCGUGCCAGGCUCUUUCCAUGGUCGCUUGUUUCCGAAGGCAUCUCUACACUUUUUCCACUCUUCUUAUGCUGUCCACUGGCUUUCUAGAGUGCCAAAAGAGAUGGGGGACAAGACCUCUCCUGCUUGGAACAAAGGGAGUAUCCACUACUCAAAAGCUUCAGACGAUGUUUUCAGGGCUUAUGAAGCUCACUAUGUGAAGGACAUGGAGAGGUUUCUAAUUGCUAGAGCAGAAGAGAUUGUGUGUGGAGGACUUUUGGCCCUUAUUCUUCCAGGUUUCCCCAAUGAAAAGCACUAUUCUGAAGCUUUUUUGAGCAGGAUAGUACAUCUUUUGGGAUCUUGCUUAUUGGAAAUCGCCAAAAAGGGAAAAGAAAAGGGGAAUUUGGUCCGAUACCUUUAUUUUGAACACCUUAAUGAGAAAUACCCUCCCUCUUUUAAAUCUUUUUUAUCUACCCACCCUCUUUUCAUUAUUCCAACCUUACCCUUACUGUAUAAACCACGUACAAUUUCUUUCUCACUCUUAUCAAUAUCCCACCUACCGCAUUUCAUAUCCAAUUUCCCUCUUUCUUUCUUUCUUCUCGUAGUGCUUUCUGAUGUUGGAUUCGAAGGACGAUCUUGAAGCUGUGGAAGGAGGUUUUAUGCUUAAUUUCAGGCGUCCAAAUGGUGGACCAUAACACACACGACAUUGAUUCUGAAGCAGUGGAGAGAGAGAGAGAGAGUUGCAGGGAGCUUUUGUGAGAUUAGUUUACUGAUUUCUUUCUUCGACCAUAGGCUUGGAAUCGAAUUAUGAAAUCACUCGGACCGCUGAGUUCAUUAGCAGUGGCGGCUUCACCAGAGUCGCUUUACAGUUCAUCUCCCAGAUGAGAUCCUAAAUGAGUCGGUGAUAGUUGGGAGUGUUUUACUGGACAAGAUUUGGUGUCUACGAGAAUCUCAAUUCGAUAGCGAUUGGAAUGGCAACGUAAAAGAUGUAUCUUUGUUUAUGAUGGCC
Ziziphus jujuba (common jujube) is the source of this 1509-nucleotide RNA transcript. It is a transcript of the gene named loganic acid O-methyltransferase-like, with no coding region annotated. The transcript is spliced from 4 exons. The record is from RefSeq and is a predicted model, not a curated record. NCBI's taxonomy places the organism in Eukaryota, Viridiplantae, Streptophyta, Magnoliopsida, Rosales, Rhamnaceae.